RNAcentral lists this unclassified non-coding RNA (314 nucleotides) under Ixodes scapularis (black-legged tick). Its description in RNAcentral is "uncharacterized LOC115309197, transcript variant X1". Lineage: Eukaryota; Metazoa; Arthropoda; Arachnida; Ixodida; Ixodidae. The record is from RNAcentral.
ACCAGAGGAGCCGACGCCACCCAGCGGAAAAGACGGGAAAGAAAGAAGCGGGGAGCUACCGCCUAACCAAGUGUGCAGCAAACAAUGACACGGCCUACAGGCCGAAAUGGGCCAAAAGGAGAGCCUCCAUGAAGGGCGACACCAUCGGCGACGUCUUCGGCGUGGACGCACCGGAACCAGAAGACGACGCAGAGCAAUUUUCAGGCUACGAGGAAGACGCCGCCCCGUAUCCUGACGAUCAGGUCGACGAGCAGGGCGACGACAGAGCGCCCUCGGCGCCUCCGAAUGAGCAGCGGCAGGAGUCUGCAGAGAAG